GAUGAACGCUGGCGGCGUGCUUAACACAUGCAAGUCGAACGGAAAGGCCCAAGCUUGCUUGGGUACUCGAGUGGCGAACGGGUGAGUAACACGUGGGUGAUCUGCCCUGCACUUCGGGAUAAGCCUGGGAAACUGGGUCUAAUACUGGAUAGGACCACUUCUUGGAUGUUGUGGUGGAAAGUUUUUUCGGUGUGGGAUGAGCUCGCGGCCUAUCAGCUUGUUGGUGGGGUAAUGGCCUACCAAGGCGUCGGCGUGUAGCCGGCCUGAGGGGGUGUACGGCCACAUUGGGACUUAGAGACGGCCCAGGCACCUACGGUAGGCAGCAGUGGGGAAGAUUGCACGAUGGGCGCCAGCCUGAUGCAGCGACGCUGCGUGGGGGAUGACGGCCUUCGGGUUGUAAACUCAUUUCGCUAGGGACGAAGCGUUUUGUGACGGUACCUGGAGAAGAAGCACCGGCUAACUACGUG
This 467-nucleotide ribosomal RNA is filed under the name uncultured bacterium. Its description in RNAcentral is "partial 16S ribosomal RNA". It matches the Rfam family "Bacterial small subunit ribosomal RNA", at positions 28 to 507 of the family's 1533-position model. The record is from RNAcentral.